CAACAGAGGGAGGCAAUACCGCGAGGUGGAGCAAACCCCUAAAAGCCAUCCCAGUUCGGACUGUAGGCUGCAACUCGCCUACACGAAGUCGGAAUCGCUAGUAAUCGCGGAUCAGCAUGCCGCGGUGAAUACGUUCCCGGGCCUUGUACACACCGCCCGUCACACCAUGGGAGUUUGUAACGCCCAAAGUCGGUGGCCUAACCUUUAUGGAGGGAGCCGCCUAAGGCGGGACAGAUGACUGGGGUGAAGUCGUAACAAGGUACC
Molecule: ribosomal RNA, 264 nt
Filed under: uncultured bacterium
Lineage: Bacteria
Description: partial 16S ribosomal RNA
Rfam family: Bacterial small subunit ribosomal RNA
Source: RNAcentral